This 750-nucleotide long non-coding RNA is filed under the name Homo sapiens (human). RNAcentral describes it as "non-protein coding lnc-DDX5-1:2". Lineage: Eukaryota; Metazoa; Chordata; Mammalia; Primates; Hominidae. The record is from RNAcentral.
ACAGCUGGCCAAACCAUGACAACUGGUUUGUACGCAGUCCUUGUGAAAAGGAUGAAAGCGUCCUAGACAACCAAAUUAAUUCGCUCUUCAAAAGCGGUGCUAGACAAAGCCCAUGACUCUAGAGGGCACUGAAGAGAAAAAAGCACAACUAUUCUACAGGGGCAUAUUCUACUAUUCUGCAGGGGCAUAAUAAAUCUUAAGAAUGCUGUUCCUUUAAAGACCAAUACAAAAGCAGCAUACUGCUGUUCCACGGCCUCGAAGCGAAGAGGUGGUGAAGCUGAGAGACCCUAUCCAGGGAACCCGCCAGCGCGACGCGGCGUCUGAAGGUCACGAGCCCCGCCGACAGCCCAGACCCAGUCCGGGCUAGCCCGAGGCCUCCCUGGAGGUGGACGGUUUCAGUCCACACAUACUGGGACCCCAGGGAGACACUCACCAGCAUCCGAGCCUGCCAUGUUUCAGAGGCAGGUCGCCGCCGGACUCCGACGCGGCCGGGAAGGCGACGGUGUCCUGGAAGGACCGAUCCACGCAGACCCGACACUGGGGCGCGGACGCACGAACCAAAGCGCGGGGAAGGAGGCGUGAAAGAAGGACGGACGUUAAAAGAGCUUCUCGCCGCUGAUUGGUCAUCAGAGGAGCACUUCCUUUCACAGGACGUGAAACGGGGGCGGUUUGGGAAGUUUAGAGACCAUUCUCCGCCGACCAAAACCCGUCAAAGGAUUAUCAGACACGCGGGUCGGACGGUCCACAUCA